This 408-nucleotide long non-coding RNA is filed under the name Oryza sativa Indica Group (long-grained rice). RNAcentral's name for it is "lncRNA OsIR64_01g0023360". Lineage: Eukaryota; Viridiplantae; Streptophyta; Magnoliopsida; Poales; Poaceae. The record is from RNAcentral.
GCAGAUUUGACAAUAUUAAGGCAAGCAACAAGAAUUUAUACUCCAGCAAUAUUUAAAGUGUUUCAGGAACAAGUGUUGCAAACAUUGAACUGUGACCUAUACUACUGUGGUGAUAUUGAUGCUGAAAUGGUGUACAAAUUAAAAGUUCACGAAUCUGAUGAAACAUACUUAAUGGCUGCCAACAAUGCACAAAAGUUAGCAGAAGAUGUGGAGAAAUACUUGAGUAUAAGGCCUGAUCCAGAUUUGGAUAAAUCUGGCACAGAGGAAAAUGUUGGCCCGAGUAAAGCAAGAGAUAUAAAGGUUAAGGAGAAAGCCAUUCGUGGGUCGAGGAGACCAAUUGGUGGUUUUGACAAGGCAACACAACGGAGUAAAAAGAAAAAGAGUGAUUCAAACACAUCAAAGUGUCCG